CUUUAUUUUCUAUUAAGUAAGAUUAUAUCAAGAGCUUGAUGAAAGCUUUCAGCGUGGACUGGAGAAAUUGAUAUGGAAGACAUUCUUAAACACCUAGCAUCUCUGCCAAUUAAUGUGAGUAGGGUAAGAGCAGCAUAGUUAUUAAAUGAAUUUAAUUGGAGAACACCAAGGUCUUCCUCUUCUACUUAUACUUAGAAGCUUUGAUUAGCUCAGAUCAGUGUAGCACAGUCCCCAUCAAGAAGCAGCUGUGAGCCAAGUACUGGGGAUAUAAAGAUGAUGGUACAAUCUCUAACAGGAGGUAUAAACACAGAAGUGGAGAUAGAAUUUGAAGCCAUUGCUGAGAAAAGUUUCCCAGGCAAGAUUAUCCAGCUGGGAUCAGGGUUUUCUCUUCAAAUGUGGAUAAAUGCCAGAAGAAAUGCUGCUGUCUUGUUGCUCCAGCUGUCUGGUUCCAGCUCGCUGAAAUGAAUAAGAGGACUCAGAACAGAACAAAUAGAGGGAUUGGGCCUGGGGAGUUUGUUUUAAAUUUCAGUCACAUUUAAAUUGUGAGUGUUGCAAAUAAUUUCAUCCACUUUCCUAUGAAAUGCUUGAUUCUGCUACCCAAGGGUGCACCCAUGGUCUGCUCAGCUUAAGUUGCCUGCUUUAAUAUGUGAUCUGAAGUUGCUGAGCUGAACAUCUGCACCAAAGCUCUAGUUAUCUGUUUAGUUGAGACAGUUGGCUUGGUAUUGUAAUACUGCAAUGGUGGGGGCAGUGUUGUAGCAUAUUGGAUCCCAUAUCUUUGCUGGUUUGAGUCCCGGCUCUUUCACUUUCAAUACUGCUCCCUACCAAUGCCCCUGGGAAAGCAGUGGAAGAUGGCAUAAAUAUUCGGGCCCCUUCGCUCAUGCAGGAAGAUGAAGUUCCAUGCUCCUGGCUUCUGUCUAGUCCAGUCCUAGAUGUUGCAGUCAUUUGGAGAGUGAACCAGUUGAUGGAAUAUUUUCUCUCUCUCUUUCCCUUUCUCUCCCUGUACCCCCUGCCCCAUAACUCUACCUUUCAAAUAACUAAAUAAAUCUUUUUGUAAAAGACUGCA
This 1063-nucleotide long non-coding RNA is filed under the name Oryctolagus cuniculus (rabbit). RNAcentral's name for it is "lncRNA (ENSOCUG00000039433.1)". The record is from RNAcentral. Lineage: Eukaryota; Metazoa; Chordata; Mammalia; Lagomorpha; Leporidae.